GUGCUCGCUUCAGCAGCACAUAUACUAAAAUUGGGACAUACAGAGAAGAUUAGCAUGGCCCCUGCACAAGGAUGACAUGUAUAUUGGUGAAGCGUUCCACCUUUAA
RNAcentral lists this small nuclear RNA (106 nucleotides) under Myotis brandtii (Brandt's bat). The record is from RNAcentral. Lineage: Eukaryota; Metazoa; Chordata; Mammalia; Chiroptera; Vespertilionidae.